RNAcentral lists this ribosomal RNA (497 nucleotides) under uncultured bacterium. RNAcentral's name for it is "partial 16S ribosomal RNA". It matches the Rfam family "Bacterial small subunit ribosomal RNA", at positions 28 to 507 of the family's 1533-position model. The record is from RNAcentral.
GAUGAACGCUGGCGGCGUGCCUAAUACAUGCAAGUCGAGCGAACAGAUGAGGAGCUUGCUCCUCUGACGUUAGCGGCGGACGGGUGAGUAACACGUGGAUAACCUACCUAUAAGACUGGGAUAACUUCGGGAAACCGGAGCUAAUACCGGAUAAUAUAUUGAACCGCAUGGUUCAAUAGUGAAAGACGGUUUUGAUGUCACUUAUAGAUGGAUCCGCGCCGCAUUAGCUAGUUGGUAAGGUAACGGCUUACCAAGGCAACGAUGCGUAGCCGACCUGAGAGGGUGAUCGGCCACACUGGAACUGAGACACGGUCCAGACUCCUACGGGAGGCAGCAGUAGGAAAUCUUCCACAAUGGGCGAAAGCCUGACGGAGCAACGCCGCGUGAGUGAUGAAGGUCUUCGGAUCGUAAAACUCUGUUAUUAGGGAAGAACAAAUGUGUAAGUAACUAUGCACGUCUUGACGGUACCUAAUCAGAAAGCCACGGCUAACUACGUG